RNAcentral lists this ribosomal RNA (313 nucleotides) under uncultured eukaryote. RNAcentral describes it as "partial 18S ribosomal RNA". It matches the Rfam family "Eukaryotic small subunit ribosomal RNA", at positions 1470 to 1796 of the family's 1831-position model. The record is from RNAcentral.
CCCUUAGAUGUUCUGGGCUGCACGCGCGCUACACUGAUACUUUCAGCGAGUCCACCACCUUGCCUGGGAAGGUGGGGUAACCUCUGGAAAGUGCAUCGUGAUGGGGAUCGAUUAUUGUAAUUAUUAAUCUUCAACGAGGAAUUCCUAGUAAGCAUGUGUCAUCAGCCCGUGCUGAUUACGUCCCUGCCCUUUGUACACACCGCCCGUCGCUCCUACCGAUUGGGUGAGCCGAUGAAACUCUCGGAUGUAGGCUAUUCAUAGCCCGCAGAAGAGAUUUGAAUCGUAGCGCUUAGAGGAAGGAGAAGUCGUAACA